Molecule: long non-coding RNA, 87 nt
Organism: Telopea speciosissima
Lineage: Eukaryota; Viridiplantae; Streptophyta; Magnoliopsida; Proteales; Proteaceae
Exons: 3
Source: RefSeq, a predicted model, not a curated record
AAUACAUGGAGUAGAGGUGGAACUUUGCUUUUCUGGGAGAAUCAGUAAAGAAGCUCAAGGUAGGGGACUUUUAGUAAAUAUAGGAGG